UACGAAGGGGGCUAGCGUUGUUCGGAAUUACUGGGCGUAAAGCGCACGUAGGCGGAUAUUUAAGUCAGGGGUGAAAUCCCGGAGCUCAACUCCGGAACUGCCCUUGAAACUGCAGUGCUAGAAUCUUGGAGAGGCGAGUGGAAUUCCGAGUGUAGAGGUGAAAUUCGUAGAUAUUCGGAAGAACACCAGUGGCGAAGGCGACUCGCUGGACAAGUAUUGACGCUGAGGUGCGAAAGCGUGGGGAGCAAACAGG
RNAcentral lists this ribosomal RNA (253 nucleotides) under uncultured bacterium. RNAcentral describes it as "partial 16S ribosomal RNA". It matches the Rfam family "Bacterial small subunit ribosomal RNA", at positions 524 to 776 of the family's 1533-position model. The record is from RNAcentral.